CCUAAACCUCCCCUGUCUCAGUUUAAGACCGUACCCUGUUGUCCUAUCAUCCACCCUCGUAAACCCCCCUGUUCCCCUUCCUGUUUAUAUGCUCCCAUCAAGUAUUGGAAGGCCAUGAUGAGGUCUACGCAGAGCCUUCUCUUCUCCAAGCUAACUUUCCUGAUGUUUGCUGUUUCUCAGAGAGAAGCUGCUGACGGCUGGUUUCUGGUGAGGAGGGUGAUCGGAAUGAAGAUGCAACAGGAGUGCUCACACAGAACAGAUUCACGCCAGCUGCAACUUUCCAGAUGAGAGCAGGAACCACAUCAGGGCACUCGUGAAGGGACGGAACACUGGACCUGAGCUUGGCUGAGGUCAUUGGCAGCGCUGGAUGCACAGGAGCUAGGCUAGUAGGGAGCCAGGAGGGCACAGGAUACUCUUGCUUCAUCACUUCACCAUACAGUGGGGAG
This 446-nucleotide long non-coding RNA is filed under the name Gallus gallus (chicken). RNAcentral's name for it is "long non-coding RNA NONGGAT001176". Lineage: Eukaryota; Metazoa; Chordata; Aves; Galliformes; Phasianidae. The record is from RNAcentral.